UACGGAGGAUGCAAGCGUUAUCCGGAUUUAUUGGGUUUAAAGGGUGCGCAGGUGGUUAAAUAAGUCAGUGGUGAAAGUCUGCCGCUUAACGGUAGGAUUGCCAUUGAUACUGUUUAACUUGAGUUUAGGUGAGGUAGGCGGAAUGUGUAGUGUAGCGGUGAAAUGCAUAGAUAUUACACAGAACACCGAUUGCGAAGGCAGCUUACUAAUCUACAACUGACACUGAGGCACGAAAGCGUGGGGAUCAAACAGGAUUAGAUACCCUGGUAGUCCACGCUGUAAACGAUGAUCACUCGCUGUUUGCGAUAUACAGUAAGCGGCUAAGCGAAAGCGAUAAGUGAUCCACCUGGGGAGUACGAUCGCAAGGUUGAA
Molecule: ribosomal RNA, 372 nt
Filed under: uncultured bacterium
Lineage: Bacteria
Description: bacterial SSU rRNA
Rfam family: Bacterial small subunit ribosomal RNA
Source: RNAcentral